This 497-nucleotide ribosomal RNA is filed under the name uncultured bacterium. Its description in RNAcentral is "bacterial SSU rRNA". It matches the Rfam family "Bacterial small subunit ribosomal RNA", at positions 28 to 513 of the family's 1533-position model. The record is from RNAcentral.
GAUGAACGCUAGCUACAGGCUUAACACAUGCAAGUCGCGGGGUAACAUCUGGUAGAGCUUGCUCUUCCAGGAUGACGACCGGCGCACGGGUGAGUAACGCGUAUCCAACCUGGCCCAUACCACGGGAUAGCCCGUCGAAAGGCGGAUUAAUACCGUAUGCUGUCAUUAAGAUGCAUAUAUUGAUGACGAAAGGACUGGCGGUAUGGGAUGGGGAUGCGUCUGAUUAGCUUGUUGGCGGGGUAACGGCCCACCAAGGCGACGAUGCGUAGGGGUUCUGAGAGGAAGGUCCCCCACACUGGUACUGAGACACGGACCAGACUCCUACGGGAGGCAGCAGUGAGGAAUAUUGGUCAAUGGGCGAGAGCCUGAACCAGCCAAGUCGCGUGAGGGAAGACGGUCCUACGGAUUGUAAACCUCUUUUGUCGGGGAGUAAUAGGCGGGACGUGUCCUGCUGUGAGAGUACCCGAAGAAAAGCAUCGGCUAACUCCGUGCCAGCA